GUUCCCGUGAGAUGAGCAGCUGUGUUCUACCCAGGGCUCCUACUGUGACACUCUGCCUCUCCUCAGACCCAAAGCAAUGGGGCCAGCCAACCAUCUCCCAAACUGCCAUGAUCCCUCAUCUCUUAUGUGGCAAAUGUUUACAGAAGAAAUCUUGGUAGAGACCUAUGAAUGAACUGGACAAGCAACAUGAAGCCUACAAAAUGUAGGCCAUCCUAAAUUAUCCAGUACAGCCAUGAAAUGCAGAAGCCCUGGAAACAGUCAACACCUUGAUGAAGAGCUGCUUGGUAUUCAUAAACCUUCAUGCCUGUCAGGGAAUUUUGCUGACACGUCUCAAAAGUCUGAGGAGUGAAACUGUUGUUUUGUUUGCUUCUCGAAUUUCGUGGUCAAAUAUGCACAGAAAGGGUUUAAAUCCAACUGGAGCUUCCGACGAUGUCUGCAGCGAGCUUCCCGUGCAGUCUGCUUUCUGCUCUAAUUUGUUCACAUUGGUUUUGAUGAUCUAAUUUAAGAUGAGGAGGAAUAUCUCAUGAAUUUUUACAGCACUGGGAAGCUGGAAGAGCAGGACACAAACUAAGUUAACAUGUAACUUCACAAAGGGAGUGGGUGAAGUAUUCCGUGGAAACUGCUCUGACAUGGAGUACCCUCUGUCCAUGCAGCUGUGUCGCUGGCUCAGCCUAGAGGUUCCUAACGGGAUCUGGGGAUUCAUGGAAAACACUUGCAGGGUUCUGGGGGAGGGUCGGGAAGCAGGGGAGACUUUUGGUCAGGCAGGGGUGACUGCUUUCAGAACCCCAGUAAGGAUGCAUGCAAGGGAUGACCUCCCACACAGGCAGCUCAGAUCUGUGUGGGAACCACCAGAAAAUGGCAUUCAUGAGUUGGUUAGAUACCCUUUCUUGUUUAGCUUCCGAUAUAUAUACAUACCAGUGACACUUGUCCCUCACUUCCCUUUUUGGUCUCCAUCAUAGAAAGAAAAUUCUGGAGGAUCUAGCUGCGCUAAGGGAAGCUUUGCAAGCACACAGCACUGUCCUCAACUUGUCAAAUAAAAAUGCCCAACAUGCUCAACAUCAGGGCACUAGGGGAAGUUACAUUAACGCAUCCACAGGAAAAAGGACCAGGCUUGUGGAGGACCAGCGUCUGUCAUAGCAGGUCUUCUGUGUUCUUGUCCACAGACACUGACUUUCCUUGCCACACUCAGGUGAUUUCAGCAGCUCUCCUGAUGCCCACCUGAGUAGAGUCUGCCUCUCUCUGGACAGUGUACUUGCCAUGAAGUCAUGCCUCACGGACUUCCCAAGGAGUGUGGUUGCCAUCAAUAACUGCAUCCUGCACUCACUUGUGAACAGUACACAAACCUGUCCUGAAUCCACUGCCUGAGCAGGGUUCCUUGAAUGGGAACUUGGAAUACUGUAUUCCCCAGCUGUGAGUUGCUAUGCAGAUGGAAACUACCAGCACUGGAAAAGACAUCACUCCAUUUCCUCCAGAUAUAUUCCCAGGAGUGGAUUGCUGGACUCUACAGCAGGUUUUUAAGGAACUCCUAUACUGUUUUUUUUUUUUUUUUUUUCAUUUGCUGUACCCAUUUACAUUUCCACUGACAGUAUACAAGGCUCUUACAUCUCCACACCUGCACCACCAUUUAAAAAAAGGAUUGGGUCUUUGGAUCCCAACCCUUCCACACAGAAUUCCCUCAUCUCAGCAGGAGGCCAGGCAGUCCUCUGCCAAUACGUGGCAGGCACCAUCAGAGAUAACAGAACAGUUCCCUUUGGUCCCCGUAAAGGCAACUUAAACAUAUUGGCUUAAACGGGAUGAUUUCUCAUCUGCAGAUACAAGGAGCACAUGGAGUUUCGAGUGGAAACACGGUGGUUGAUUAAAAAAAAAAACAGUAGAAAUUCAAUAAUAAAAUUGAUUAGAGAGUGUCAGUAAUAUAGCCUAUUGACAUGGGAGUUCAUCACACUGAAAUGAAAACUGAUUCCAUGUCAUCAGUGAGUAGUUAUGGGGAAUUGGUGCACAUCCCACAGCCCCCACCCACCCCCAGUUAUCAUUUUAUCUAGUGGCUUAACAGAUGAGGAAGGCAAGAUGGAGAUGGGCAUGAGGAACAGAGCAAGGCAGGUAGGACUGAUGACACCGUGUGCUGGGAGCUUGUGUUGAAUCCCAAGCCUCUUUUCCAGUUCAAAGCCUUUCUGAGAAUGAGCAGGUGAUAACCUCCUUUGUUAGCUUAAUGCAAAGAAGUAUGGAUUGCUGCCGUAGCCACGGAUUUGAAAUGGAACUCUGGAGAGCAAUUUCCCCAGCAGCAUCAUUUCUGUUUCAAUCCUGGUAUUCCUUUGUUAAUAGUUACUUCAUAAAUGAAUAAAUAGUCAUUCCUCUCAUAUCUAAUUCUAAAUACUUGUGCUAUAUUUUAGGAACUGAAGAAAGUGGUAUAUUUGGCAUGUGCAUUUUAAACUUAAACGAUACAGUCGUUUAACUGGAAACCACAUGUUCAAAAACAAAAUUGGCAACAGAUUGGAAGUUCAGCAUUGAUUCAAUGAUAAUUUUUUUUUUAAAAUUUUCUGAGUGCCUUGAGUAUCAAGAAAGAUUUAGCUAUGUGCAACUGCACUCAAGUGUACUGUAGAGUGUUCGGUAUAUGAAUGAUUGGCCAUAUUUACAGAAGCAAGAUUGGACUGAUUUUUCAUUAAAGUUGUCUCUAGACAUACAAGGAAACUUCAACUUCUUUUAAUUAUUUCUUUAAGUAAUAUGAAAUGUGGUGAUAUUGUGUUCCCCAAAAUAUUAUGCACCCUAAUAAACUUAUCUGGGGUCAGAGAACAGAACAGCCACUAGAUAUAGAGGCCAGAAAGUGGUGGCACACACACCUUUAAUCCUAUCACUUGGGAGGCAGAGAUCCAUCUGGAUCUCUGUGAGUUCAAAGCCACACUGGGAACAGCCAGGCAUGGAGACUCACACCUUUAAUCCCAGGAAGUGAUGGCAGAAAGCAGAAAGGUAUAUAUGACAUGAAAACCAGGAACUAAAGCUGGUUAAGCUUUUAGGCCUUUGAGCAGCAGUUCAGCUGAGAUCCAUUUGGAUGAGGACUCAGAAGCUUCCUGUCUGAGGAAACAGGAUCAGCUGAGGAACUGGCGAGGUGAGGUGGCUGUGGCUUGCUCUGCUUCUCUGAUCUUCCAGCAUUCACCCCAAUACCCAGCUCCAGGUUUGUUUUUAUUAAUAAGACCUUUUAAGA
This is a long non-coding RNA of Peromyscus californicus insignis, 3196 nucleotides long. RefSeq lists it as uncharacterized. The record is from RefSeq and is a predicted model, not a curated record. The transcript has 3 exons. Lineage: Eukaryota; Metazoa; Chordata; Mammalia; Rodentia; Cricetidae.